Molecule: long non-coding RNA, 238 nt
Filed under: Olea europaea (common olive)
Lineage: Eukaryota; Viridiplantae; Streptophyta; Magnoliopsida; Lamiales; Oleaceae
Description: long non-coding RNA (OEUR_LNC007204)
Source: RNAcentral
CUCGAUCCAAUGUCUGAAUCUCAAGUUAUGAUUAUUUUACCAACAGCUGCUUCUUGCUUGAGGCAGUCACUAUUUUUGACUUUUCAACAUUAUUUUCCUCCACUUGUUCUAAUUUGGAAAUACAAGUGAAAUACAUCAAAUAGAUACUCUUUCAAAUGUAUAAUACUCAUGCCACCAUGUAUGUAAAUACGUAUUUCAAUUAAUUGCAUUUUUAACCAUGUAUUUAUGGAAAUUGAAU